GAUGAACGCUGGCGGCGUGCCUAAUACAUGCAAGUAGAACGCUGAAGGAAGGAGCUUGCUCUUUCCGGAUGAGUUGCGAACGGGUGAGUAACGCGUAGGUAACCUGCCUGGUAGCGGGGGAUAACUAUUGGAAACGAUAGCUAAUACCGCAUAACAGUAGAUGUUGCAUGUUAUCUACUUAAAAGGUGCAAUUGCACCACUACCAGAUGGACCUGCGUUGUAUUAGCUAGUUGGUGAGGUAACGGCUCACCAAGGCGACGAUACAUAGCCGACCUGAGAGGGUGAUCGGCCACACUGGGACUGAGACACGGCCCAGACUCCUACGGGAGGCAGCAGUAGGGAAUCUUCGGCAAUGGACGGAAGUCUGACCGAGCAACGCCGCGUGAGUGAAGAAGGUUUUCGGAUCGUAAAGCUCUGUUGUAAGAGAAGAACGAGUGUGAGAGUGGAAAGUUCACACUGUGACGGUAUCUUACCAGAAAGGGACGGCUAACUACGUG
Molecule: ribosomal RNA, 497 nt
Filed under: uncultured bacterium
Lineage: Bacteria
Description: partial 16S ribosomal RNA
Rfam family: Bacterial small subunit ribosomal RNA
Source: RNAcentral